This 467-nucleotide ribosomal RNA is filed under the name Conchopus acrosticalis. Its description in RNAcentral is "partial 12S ribosomal RNA". Lineage: Eukaryota; Metazoa; Arthropoda; Insecta; Diptera; Dolichopodidae. The record is from RNAcentral.
GGUUAUACAAUAAAUACAAAUAAAUUAUUUUUGGUAUUUAGUUAUAUUGUUUUUAUUUAAUAGAUAAAAAUUUAUUAAGUGAAAUUUUAUAUUUUUUAUAUUAAUAUUAAUAAAUUAAUAGAAGCUUAUAAAUUUUAUUAUUAAACUAGGAUUAGAUACCCUAUUAUUUUAAUUUUAUAUAAAAAAGUCAGAGUAGUAAGAGUUAUGAUCUUGAAACUCAAAAAAUUUGGCGGUAUUUUAGUCUAUUCAGAGGAACCUGUAAUGUAAUCGAUAGUCCACGUUGUAUCUUACUUAAUUUUGUUUUCAGUUUGUAUAUCGCCGUUAUUUGAAAAUUUUAUAAGAAUAAUAAUUUUCAUAAUUUUUUAUUAAAAAAUAAAUCAGGUCAAGGUGCAGCUUAUAAUUAAGUUUUAUAUGGGUUACAAUAAUUAUAUUUAUACGAAUUAAUUUUUGAAAUAAAAUUAUAAAGG